RNAcentral lists this ribosomal RNA (253 nucleotides) under uncultured bacterium. RNAcentral describes it as "partial 16S ribosomal RNA". It matches the Rfam family "Bacterial small subunit ribosomal RNA", at positions 524 to 776 of the family's 1533-position model. The record is from RNAcentral.
UACAGAGGGUGCGAGCGUUGUCCGGAAUCACUGGGCGUAAAGGGCGCGUAGGUGGCGCUGCAAGUCGGUGGUGAAAGCUCGUCGCUUAACGGCGAGUCGGCCAUCGAAACUGCAGGGCUCGAGCACUGUAGGGGCUAAUGGAAUUCCGGGUGUAGCGGUGGAAUGCGCAGAUAUCAGGAGGAACACCGAUGGCGAAGGCAGAUCUCUGGGCCUUACCUGACGCUGAGGAGCGAAAGCUGGGGGAGCGAACAGG